RNAcentral lists this non-coding RNA (90 nucleotides) under human gut metagenome. RNAcentral's name for it is "TPP riboswitch (THI element)". It matches the Rfam family "TPP riboswitch aptamer (THI element)", at positions 10 to 89 of the family's 105-position model. Rfam says of the family: Vitamin B(1) in its active form thiamin pyrophosphate (TPP) is an essential coenzyme that is synthesised by coupling of pyrimidine and thiazole moieties in bacteria. The previously detected thiamin-regulatory element, thi box was extended, resulting in a new, highly conserved RNA secondary structure, the THI element, which is widely distributed in eubacteria and also occurs in some archaea. The record is from RNAcentral.
CAGGGGCGCCCAAAUAUGGGCUGAGAUGUGCUGUGAUCCAGCCGGUCCCUUAUGACCUGAUCUAGUUAGUACUAGCGUAGGGAGUCGAAU